UAAAGUCAAGCACAAUCUCUAAUCCUCAAUAUCAUUACAUGACUGAAACUGUACUUUUACAUAAUAUCAAUACAUUUAUCAUGUCCACACUAUCUAUUACAUAUACCAGACUUCAUUACUCUUGUAAACCUCCUGGUCUACCCUGUACCUGCAAUCCUGGGGAAAUUUGGGAGAGGGGUGAGCCACUAGAGCCCAGUGAGCAGAAUAAUAAAACAUUUAAAACAUAGGAUAACAUGGAAUGCAUCACAUCACAGCUAAACACAUCAAGGAUGAACCUAUCACCAAUAGCCCUCUACAUGGUCCAACUGUGCCAGAACGUAGAAUGGGUCCUGGUCUUUCCGUUACAUAUCAUAACAUAACAGUGUCCAACUGUGCCAGAACGUAGAAUGGGUCCUGGUCUUUCCCUUACAUAGUGCCAGCGAACGUAGAAUGGGUCCCACUGGUCUUACAUUCCGUACCGUACAUAUCACAUCGUCAUAUCAUAGAUCGAGGGCUAUGGAUCAUCCAACAUUCAUCCACAUCAACAUUAAAAUGUGCAAUGCAACAUAUUCGUGGAUUCUAAUGCAAACAACCUAAAACAUCACAUGGCAUUCAUGAUGCAUGAACAUGCUCAAAACUAUACGAUUAAUUUGCUUAAAACAUAAAGGUUUAUUCCACUCACCUCUGGAUAGCUCUGACCAGACACUGGGGCAACAGCCUCACUGCUGGGGUCCUC
Molecule: long non-coding RNA, 715 nt
Filed under: Manihot esculenta (cassava)
Lineage: Eukaryota; Viridiplantae; Streptophyta; Magnoliopsida; Malpighiales; Euphorbiaceae
Description: long non-coding RNA (MESC_LNC002966)
Source: RNAcentral